AAUGGAAUGCCUGACUAAAGGAUUAUCGUGAUAGGAUAAAUAAUGUAAGAAAUUACUUCCAUUA
RNAcentral lists this transfer RNA (64 nucleotides) under Cryptocercus zagunaoensis. RNAcentral describes it as "tRNA-Ile". Lineage: Eukaryota; Metazoa; Arthropoda; Insecta; Blattodea; Cryptocercidae. The record is from RNAcentral.